UAUGUGGGACGGUAAACCACAA
This 22-nucleotide microRNA is filed under the name Ovis aries (sheep). RNAcentral describes it as "oar-miR-299-3p". Its record names the gene oar-miR-299-3p. The record is from miRBase by way of RNAcentral. Lineage: Eukaryota; Metazoa; Chordata; Mammalia; Artiodactyla; Bovidae.